UGGAUAGCCUAUCCCUUCUCCAGGGGAUCUUCCCAACCCAGGAAUCAAACCGGGGUCUCCCGCAUUACAGGUGGGGAAAGGUGGUCAUCACUGUCCCAGUUUCCAUCUAAUGAAGCUAAAGUCUGGAAGAAGGAGCUGAUAACACAAACUCACUCAGGUGGUAGCAUGUGGAGCUGUUGUCUCAGUCUAGUUCUUGGUUGUUUUUAAUUAAAAUUUUCUUUUGUUGUUCUUAAAA
Long non-coding RNA from Bubalus bubalis (water buffalo), 235 nucleotides. RefSeq lists it as uncharacterized. NCBI's taxonomy places the organism in Eukaryota, Metazoa, Chordata, Mammalia, Artiodactyla, Bovidae. The record is from RefSeq and is a predicted model, not a curated record. The transcript has 2 exons.